Long non-coding RNA from Sarcophilus harrisii (Tasmanian devil), 502 nucleotides. RefSeq lists it as uncharacterized. The transcript has 4 exons. The record is from RefSeq and is a predicted model, not a curated record. Lineage: Eukaryota; Metazoa; Chordata; Mammalia; Dasyuromorphia; Dasyuridae.
CAUAUUUGUGGAUGGGCUGGGGCUGGAGCGGGGCCCGAGAGCCCGCAGGGGCGGAGCGCCCGGAUAACAGAUGACCUAUCUUGCUUCUGCUACAAUUUCUUCAUAUGUAUUGGGACAUGAACAUCAUCAAGAACAGACUCUAGAUCCUUGUAAAACAUUGCAUUUAUGCAGCACUUUUCUAAUAAGGAUUUAAGUUGCUUACUGAUUUCUGAGGUGUAAACGCAGACACUGAAAAUUUAUGACAGUGAAGCUUUUCAAAACUUAGAAAAACUGGCACUUGAGUCUCAAAAGGUUCCUGAAUCUCAGAAAGCUAAGAGGAAAUCAUCAUUUAUGGAGUCAUCAGUGCCAAUAAAAAUUCCCAUGAACAGAUGUUCCUUUGUAUUGCCCCCUCUGAAGAAAUGAUAGCAUUGUCUAGAAAAACAAAGGCCAUCCAAGAAAAUGGAAAAUGGGCUUACAUGUUUGUUAUGCUAUAAUAACAGUUUAUAAUUAAAGCUUUCUUUGC